GCCCUACGGGGUGCAGCAGGCGCGAAAACUUUACAAUGCUGGCAACAGCGAUAAGGGAACCUCGAGUGCCAGGUUACAAAUCUGGCUGUCGAGAUGCCUAAAAAGCAUUUCAUAGCAAGGGCCGGGCAAGACCGGUGCCAGCCGCCGCGGUAACACCGGCGGCUCGAGUGGUAACCGUUAUUAUUGGGUCUAAAGGGUCUGUAGCCGGCCGGAUAAGUCUCUUGAGAAAUCUGGCAGCUUAACUGUCAGGCUUUCAGGAGAUACUGUCUGGCUCGAGGCCGGGAGAGGUGAGAGGUACUUCAGGGGUAGGGGUGAAAUCUUGUAAUCCUUGAAGGACCACCAGUGGCGAAGGCGUCUCACCAGAACGGACCUGACGGCAAGGGACGAAAGCUAGGGGCACGAACCGGAUUAGAUACCCGGGUAGUCCUAGCCGUAAACGAUACUCGCUAGGUGUCGGCCACGGUGCGACCGUUGUCGGUGCCGUAGGGAAGCCGUGAAGCGAGCCACCUGGGAAGUACGGCCGCAAGGCUGAAACUUAAAGGAAUUGGCGGGGGAGCACCACAACGUGUGGAGCUUGCGGUUUAAUUGGAUUCAACGCCGGAAAUCUUAC
RNAcentral lists this ribosomal RNA (610 nucleotides) under uncultured archaeon. RNAcentral's name for it is "bacterial SSU rRNA". It matches the Rfam family "Archaeal small subunit ribosomal RNA", at positions 320 to 930 of the family's 1478-position model. The record is from RNAcentral.